RNAcentral lists this ribosomal RNA (251 nucleotides) under uncultured bacterium. RNAcentral's name for it is "partial 16S ribosomal RNA". It matches the Rfam family "Bacterial small subunit ribosomal RNA", at positions 525 to 775 of the family's 1533-position model. The record is from RNAcentral.
ACGUAGGGGGCAAGCGUUAUCCGAAUUUACUGGGUGUAAAGGGAGCGUAGACGGCAGUGCAAGUCUGAAGUGAAAGCCCGGGGCUCAACCCCGGGACUGCUUUGGAAACUGUGCAGCUAGAGUGUCGGAGAGGCAAGCGGAAUUCCUAGUGUAGCGGUGAAAUGCGUAGAUAUUAGGAGGAACACCAGUGGCGAAGGCGGCUUGCUGGACGAUGACUGACGUUGAGGCUCGAAAGCGUGGGGAGCAAACAG